GGAGGUGUAACACAGAUGGUAAAAGGUUUGCUUAGUAUGCAAAAGAUCAUGAGUUCGAUCCCUCAUGUUUUCA
Non-coding RNA from Zostera marina, 73 nucleotides. NCBI's taxonomy places the organism in Eukaryota, Viridiplantae, Streptophyta, Magnoliopsida, Alismatales, Zosteraceae. The record is from the annotation of a GenBank genome assembly.